UACGGGGGGAGCAAGCGUUGUUCGGAUUUACUGGGCGUAAAGGGCGCGUAGGCGGCCACUGCAAGUCGGUUGUGAAAUCUCCGGGCUUAACCCGGAAAGGUCAAUCGAUACUGCAGGGCUAGAGUGCAGAAGGGGCAACUGGAAUUCUCGGUGUAGCGGUGAAAUGCGUAGAUAUCGAGAGGAACACCAGUGGCGAAGGCGGGUCUCUGGACAGUUCCUGACGCUGAGGCACGAAGGCCAGGGGAGCAAACGGG
This 254-nucleotide ribosomal RNA is filed under the name uncultured bacterium. Its description in RNAcentral is "partial 16S ribosomal RNA". It matches the Rfam family "Bacterial small subunit ribosomal RNA", at positions 524 to 776 of the family's 1533-position model. The record is from RNAcentral.